UUGAAAUUACAGAAAUUUGAAAUAUGUUGC
RNAcentral lists this non-coding RNA (30 nucleotides) under Rattus norvegicus (Norway rat). The record is from RNAcentral. Lineage: Eukaryota; Metazoa; Chordata; Mammalia; Rodentia; Muridae.